Molecule: ribosomal RNA, 367 nt
Filed under: uncultured bacterium
Lineage: Bacteria
Description: bacterial SSU rRNA
Rfam family: Bacterial small subunit ribosomal RNA
Source: RNAcentral
GACGAAUGCUGGCGGCGUGCUUAACACAUGCAAGUCGAGCGGUAAGGCCCUUUCGGGGGUACACGAGCGGCGAACGGGUGAGUAACACGUGGGUGACCUGCCCUCAGCUCUGGGAUAAGCCCGGGAAACUGGGUCUAAUACUGGAUAUUACUCUGCGGUGCAUGCCGUGGGGUGGAAAGCCUUGUGCGGCUGGGGAUGGGCCCGCGGCCUAUCAGCUUGUUGGUGGGGUGAUGGCCUACCAAGGCGACGACGGGUAGCCGGCCUGAGAGGGCGACCGGCCACACUGGGACUGAGACACGGCCCAGACUCCUACGGGAGUCAGCAGUGGGGAAUCUUGCGCAAUGGGCGAAAGCCUGACGCAGCGACG